AGCAGCCGCGGUAAUACGGAGAUGGCGAGCGUUACUCGGAUUCAUUGGGCGUAAAGGGCAGGUAGGUGUCCUAUUAAGUGGGGGGUGAAAUACUUCGACUCAAUCGAAGAACUGCCUUCCAAACUAGUAGGAUUGAGUGUGAGAGAGGAAAGCGGAACUCUCGGUGUAAGGGUGAAAUCUGUAGAUAUCGAGAGGAACACCAGUAGCGAAGGCGGCUUUCUGGAUCACAACUGACACUGAGCUGCGAAAGCUAGGGGAGCAAACAGGAUUAGAUACCCUGGUAGUCCUAGCUGUAAACGAUGAGUACUUGGUGUCUUGGGUUAAACUAAGGUGCCGAAGUUAACACAUUAAGUACUCCACCUGGGGACUACGGCCGCAAGGCUAAAACUCAAAGGAAUUGACGGGGGCCCGCACAAGCGGUGGAACAUGUGGUUCAAUUCGACGAUACACGAAGAACCUCACCAGGACUUGACAUGUAGGUAGUAAGAACCUGAAAGGGAGAUGACUCGUCAAGUCGAGUGCCUACACAGGUGUUGCAUGGCUGUCGUCAGCUCGUGUCGUGAGAUGUUGGGUUAAGUCCCGCAACGAGCGCAACCAUCAUCUUUUGUUGCCACUCUGCUUUUGGGAAACCAAAAUCAGAAGCACUCUAAAGAGACUGCCCGCGAUAAGCGGGAGGAAGGUGGUGAUGACGUCAAGUCAGUACGGCCCUUAUGUCCUGGGCUACACACGUGUUACAAUGGAGUGUACAAAGGGUUGCCAAGCCGCGAGGCGCAGCUAAUCUCAAAAAACACUCCUCAGUUCGGAUUGGAGUCUGCAAUUCGACUCCAUGAAGCUGGAAUCGCUAGUAAUGGCGGAGCAGAUAUGCCGCCGUGAAUACGUUCCCGGGCCUUGUACACACCGCCCGUCAAGCGAUAGGAGCUGGGAGCACCCUAAGUUCCGCCAUAGGCGGACCGAAGGUGAAACUGGUGACCGGCGCUAAGUCGUAACAAGGUAACC
RNAcentral lists this ribosomal RNA (996 nucleotides) under uncultured bacterium. Its description in RNAcentral is "bacterial SSU rRNA". It matches the Rfam family "Bacterial small subunit ribosomal RNA", at positions 510 to 1501 of the family's 1533-position model. The record is from RNAcentral.